Molecule: ribosomal RNA, 1351 nt
Filed under: Nodopelta heminoda
Lineage: Eukaryota; Metazoa; Mollusca; Gastropoda; Neomphalida; Peltospiridae
Description: 16S ribosomal RNA
Rfam family: Archaeal large subunit ribosomal RNA (bases 606-1351)
Source: RNAcentral
UAGAUUUCUUGUUUUAUGAUUUAAUUUAAAUUAAUAAAAGAAAAAUCAUUUUAUAUAAGUGUAUUGUUGAAAGAAAUUAUAAUAAAAACUAGAGAAAAAAAGUACCGUGAGGGAAUGAAGAUAAAUUUUUUUAAAGAAAUAGUUAAUUUUUGUACCUUUUGUAUGAUGGUUUAUCUAGAAAAAGACAUAAAUAGUGUUUUCCCGAAAUAAAUUGAGCUAUUAAAUUUCUAUGUCAAUGUGGAAAGAUUGUAUAAAGAGGAUUUAAUAGAAAUGAAAUAUUAAUCGCAAUUUAUGAUAGCUGGUUAAUCAAUAAAGAUAUCAAAGUAUCUAUUUUCGGUGAAUGAAGAUUUAGUUGUUAUUGAACUAAAAAUAAAGACGAAAAAUGUAAAGAUAAAAGGAUAAGCUUUUGUCUAGUGAUAAAAAUUUUUUGAAAAUAAGAAUCAAGUGUAGGCUUAAGAUUGGUCAUCAAUUAAAAAAAUUGUUAUAAAUUAUGAAAAAAAGAAUUUUAUUGGUAAAUAAAUUUUAUUCUUGGGUAUUGAUUAAUUUUAUAAAAACUUUUUAUUAAAAGAAAUUCUGAUAAAAUGAGUAUUUGUGUUUUUAUUUUUCUGAAAAUUAUAAAUAGACAGAAAAUAAAAUAUUUAUAUUAGAAAAUGGAUAAAAGGAAUUCGGCAAAAAUUUGUUUCGCCAGUUUAUCAAAAACAUGGCUCUUUGUUUUAAAAAGAUAGAGAGUCGGACCUGCCCGGUGAAUAAUGAUUUUUAACGGCCGCGGUACCCUGACCGUGCAAAGGUAGCAUAAUCAUUUGCCUUUUAAUUAAAGGCUGGUAUGAACGGUUUGACGAAAACAAAACUGUCUCUUAUCUAUUAUUUAAAAAUUAAUUUUGAUGUGAAGAAGCAUUAAUUAUUCUAAAAGACAAGAAGACCCUGUUGAGCUUUAGCGAAAUGAAAAAGUAAUUUUAUGAAUCAAAAAAAUACUUUUUUUUUAUCUUUUUAGUUGGGGCGACUGAGGAACAAAAGAGCUUCCUUUAUAAAAAAGAUUAAUUUUAUUUUGAUCCAGGAUAUCCUGAUUAGAAGAAUUAGUUACCACAGGGAUAACAGCGUAAUCCUUUUUUAGAGUUCUCAUCGAAAAAAGGGCUUGCGACCUCGAUGUUGGAUUAAGAUUUCCAGUUGGUGCAGAAGCUUUCUUUGGUUGGUCUGUUCGACCAUUAAAAUCUUACAUGAUCUGAGUUCAGACCGGCGUAAGCCAGGUCGGCUUCUAUCUUUAGAAAAAAUAUAUUUUGGACUAGUACGAAAGGACCGUCUAGAAAUAAAGUUUUUAUAAAAAAGAAGAAAUUUAAUUUUGUUUUAAAAAAUG